RNAcentral lists this long non-coding RNA (958 nucleotides) under Zostera marina. RNAcentral's name for it is "long non-coding RNA (ZMAR_LNC003639)". Lineage: Eukaryota; Viridiplantae; Streptophyta; Magnoliopsida; Alismatales; Zosteraceae. The record is from RNAcentral.
CAUUAAGUUCUGCUCGUGCAUCAGCUGUGGUUGCUGCUCACAAUCGAUAUCUUUCCACAUCUACAAAUAUCAAACAAGAAUUACAAAUUGCAACUCAAUACAUUCAUGAGAAGGACAAUCUUCAUGAAUCGAGUAUUUCUGUUGAGCCUGAUCCCGAUGAUAGCAACCUCAAAUAUGAAUCUGAUCCUGGUAGCAUCAUGGUGAAAUAUGAACCUGAUCCUGAUGACAGCAUCACAAAAGAUGAACCUGAUCCUGAUGACAGCAUCAUGAAAGUUGAACCUGAUCCUUAUGACAGCAUCAUGAAAGAUGAGCCUGAACCUGAUGACAGCAUUGUGAAAGAUGAACCUGAUCCUGAUGACAGGAUUACGAAAGAUAAACCCGAAUCUGAUGAUAGCAUCAUGAAAGAUGAUCCUGAUGACAGUAUUACAAAAGAUGGACCAGAUCCUGACACCAUCAUAAAAGAUGAACCUGAUCUUGAUAAAAGUAUUGCGAAAGAUGAACCCGAUCCUGAUGACAACAUCUUGAAAGAUGAACCUGAUCCUGAUCCUGAUGAAAGUAUCACGAAAGAUGAACCCGAUCCUCGUGAAUCUAUCACGAAAGAUGAACCCGAUCCUCGUGAAUCUUUGGGGAAAAUGGUAGAUUAUCUUAAGCAUGGAAGCUAUAAUGCUGAAACUAUCCGUGGUAAAUCGCUUCUAACAGUGGACGAUGUUAUGCAUGUUGAUUAUUAUGCACAUUCCGAAUCAUUGUCUUAUCCAAAAGAAGUUCAAAGUAAGACAAAUGAUUUUGUUAGUGAUGAAACUGGAUUUUCUUCAAAAGAACUUGAUUUUGAUGAGUAUGAUAGUUCAAAAAAGAUGAAUAUUGAUGAAUUACAAACAUAUGAGAUUCCUGAUUCAGAUGAUGUCAAACCUGGAGCAAUUGAGCAUAAUUGCAGCAUGAAUCUCUCCGAAAAUGAUGAACU